RNAcentral lists this ribosomal RNA (465 nucleotides) under uncultured bacterium. Its description in RNAcentral is "partial 16S ribosomal RNA". It matches the Rfam family "Bacterial small subunit ribosomal RNA", at positions 338 to 795 of the family's 1533-position model. The record is from RNAcentral.
CCUACGGGAGGCAGCAGUGGGGAAUAUUGCGCAAUGGGCGAAAGCCUGACGCAGCGACGCCGCGUGAGGGAUGAAGGUCUUCGGAUCGUAAACCUCUGUCAGCAGGGAAGAACGGUCACUGUGCUAAUCAGCAGUGACUUGACGGUACCUGCAAAGGAAGCACCGGCUAACUCCGUGCCAGCAGCCGCGGUAAUACGGAGGGUGCGAGCGUUAGUCGGAAUUACUGGGCGUAAAGCGCUCGUAGGCGGUAUGUCAAGUCAAGGGUGAAAUCCCCGCGCUCAACGUGGGAACUGCGUUUGAAACUGGCAAACUGGAGUGUGUGAGAGGAUAGUGGAAUUCCAGGUGUAGGAGUGAAAUCCGUAGAUAUCUGGAGGAACAUCAGUGGCGAAGGCGACUAUCUGGCACAUAACUGACGCUGAGGAGCGAAAGCGUGGGUAGCAAACAGGAUUAGAUACCCCUGUAGUC